UACGGAGGGGGCAAGCGUUAUUCGGAUUUACUGGGCGUAAAGGGUGCGUAGGCGGCUGCGCAAGUCUGAUGUGAAAUCCUCACCGCUUAACGGGAAGAGGGCAUUGGAAACUGCGUAGCUCGAGUGUGGUAGAGGCAAGCGGAAUUCCUGGUGUAGCGGUGGAAUGUGUAGAUAUCAGGAAGAACACCCGUGGCGAAGGCGGCUUGCUGGGCCACUACUGACGCUGAGGCACGAAAGCGUCGGGACCAAACGGG
Molecule: unclassified non-coding RNA, 254 nt
Filed under: uncultured bacterium
Lineage: Bacteria
Description: contains 16S-23S intergenic spacer region
Rfam family: Bacterial small subunit ribosomal RNA
Source: RNAcentral